This 431-nucleotide ribosomal RNA is filed under the name Ovatella vulcani. RNAcentral describes it as "partial 16S ribosomal RNA". It matches the Rfam family "Archaeal large subunit ribosomal RNA", at positions 1929 to 2677 of the family's 2987-position model. The record is from RNAcentral. Lineage: Eukaryota; Metazoa; Mollusca; Gastropoda; Ellobiida; Ellobiidae.
GUACCCGGCAGAGGUAAGCCCUGCCCGGUGAAAAGAUUUAACGGCCGCAGUACCCUGACUGUGCUAAGGUAGCGUAAUCAGUUGGCUUCUAAAUGGAGUCGAGAAUGAAUGGGUAAAUGGGGAGCCGCUGUUUCUGCUUCGAUUCUUUGAAUUUAUUUAGUGGGUGAAAAUCCCCAUUAUAGGAAAAAAGACGAGAAGACCCUUAGAAUCUUAGUGAAAACAUUGUCCUCAGUGGUAAACUUUUGUUGGGGCGACAACGAGGCAAGCGAUAGAGCGAAGAACCCUCGAUAGUAAGCAAGACAUGACGAGCAUGAUAAGCAAGACAAGAUUACCUUAGGGAUAACAGCAUAAUUUUCUAAAGUUUGUGACCUCGAUGUUGGACUAGGACCCUAACGACUAGCCGUCGUACUGGCAGGAUCUGUGUGCGCCGG